UACGAGAGGCCCAAACGUUAUUCGGAUUUACUGGGCUUAAAGAGUUCGUAGGCGGCGCGGAAAGUAGGGUGUGAAAGCCCUCGGCUCAACCGAGGAAUUGCGCUCUAAACUGUCGCGCUCGAGGAACCUAGAGGUGAGCAGAACUGAUGGUGGAGCGGUGAAAUGCGUUGAUAUCAUCAGGAAUACCGGAGGCGAAGGCGGCUCACUGGGGGUUAUCUGACGCUGAGGAGCGAAAGCCAGGGGAGCAAACGGG
RNAcentral lists this ribosomal RNA (253 nucleotides) under uncultured bacterium. Its description in RNAcentral is "partial 16S ribosomal RNA". It matches the Rfam family "Bacterial small subunit ribosomal RNA", at positions 524 to 776 of the family's 1533-position model. The record is from RNAcentral.